UUCGAUUCGAGCGCAGCGAGAAAGCGUUGCCGCAGGCAACGACCCGAAGGGCGAAGCGCGCAGCGCUGAGUAAUCCUUCCCCCAUCACCA
This 90-nucleotide small RNA is filed under the name Salmonella enterica. Its description in RNAcentral is "partial RtT sRNA". It matches the Rfam family "RtT RNA", at positions 42 to 130 of the family's 130-position model. Rfam says of the family: This family represents a bacterial cis-regulatory element known as RtT RNA. The exact function of RtT is unknown although it is thought that it may be involved in changing the cellular response in relation to amino acid starvation. Lineage: Bacteria; Pseudomonadati; Pseudomonadota; Gammaproteobacteria; Enterobacterales; Enterobacteriaceae. The record is from RNAcentral.